Molecule: long non-coding RNA, 13404 nt
Filed under: Medicago truncatula (barrel medic)
Lineage: Eukaryota; Viridiplantae; Streptophyta; Magnoliopsida; Fabales; Fabaceae
Description: long non-coding RNA (MTRU_LNC000496)
Source: RNAcentral
AUUCCCUAUUUUUCCAAUGUAGGAAGGAACCGGAAGUUUUCGGUUUGAAGAGAACAUGAAAUUUUGGGAAUUCUGAUUACUUCCUUUCCCUGUUAGCUCAAUUUUACUGACUUAGAACAUAGAACAGGAAUGGAAAAUUCAAAUACAAAAUCUAGGCAAUGGCUAAAACAGCAUUUUUAUUUUACAUUUUGAAAUGACAUAUUUAUGUCAGCAUUGUAUAUGUAUCAUAUGAGUAUAGGGUGAUAUUUAUUUAUUUAUGUUAAUAUUAUCAUAGAAAGAAAUUCAGACAUAUCAUUAUACCAUAAUUUAAUUCAAGAAAUUCAUUUAAUAUUGUUUUUUCUUAUAUAUUAUGCUCAAGCGAGUUUACAUUCAGAUGGUAUUUUAAAGGGAACCUAAAGUGUAUCAUGAAUCAGAUUUUCCGAAGCUGAACCUUUCGUACAACUGUUACUUGAAGUUUCUAGAUAUUAAUUUAGUAAAUGAUUUGAACUCUUUCGAUAUUCUUUUGUGCGAAAAUAUCCAUUGUAUGAAAUAGCACGGUCGAAGAAAAAUAUUUUACUCUAAGCAUAGUCGUGCAAGAAAAUACGUGACCAGUUCAAGGAAUCUGUUGAAGCCAGUAAUGACUUGAUCAAGGUAGUUAUACUACAAUAUUUCCACAAAUAUGUAAAACGGUUUCAAACUGUUUUGCCAAAACAAACCAGUUUAACAACAGUUUUCAAAAAUCAAAUCUAAUAUUUGACAUUAUGAACAAACCAGGUUAGCCACCUUAUGAACACCCCACAUCAGAAGUAUGGUAAACUCUUUUGAAUAAAAGAACUUGUGAUAGCAUCCAAGUCAUUUACUGAAGCCAGCCGGCUACCCCUCUCAAUUUUCUGAUUCUCCCUUUCAACAGUCGAUCUUUGCACCGUUCGGCUUUCUCCCCUUCCAAUCCAAAUCUUCCACCAUGUAGACCUUGACGAUGGUGGUGCGAUGAGAUUCUGUCAACCCAAAUCGUACAGAUUCUCUGCAUCACCGUUACUCUGCACAAAACUUCCGCCGUUGGCUUUCCUCGCUGCCGGAUUUCGGAAGUUUUGUCCGUACAACCCGUAAGCGGGUCUGUUCUCAACAGCUCCGCCUCCUUUCACGGCGGCGGCUGGUCAUGGUUCAUGAAUGGUUGUCCGCAGAUUUGUCGCGGUGGUUCAGUCUCAAAGGCGGUGGAUCUAAAAAAGAUAGUGUGGCUGCCUUCAGAGACACGCCAUGCUUCUGUUAAAUCAUACGACUCGUUAUGAGAGUUUGGUGUGCUCGAAUGGGCCGUUAUGCUUGUUGUGCUUUGUUCUUGCAGGGGCAGUUGGUCUGUGAAUCUGUCCGUGUUGGCGGUCGAUUCAUAUACCAUGAUUGAAAAGAUGGGUUUGGUGUUGUUCAGAUCUGUCUCCAGUUUGAUUAUGAUGCUCGCGACUUUUAGUGUUGGUUGGGUCAGGUUUUUCCCCCCUCAGUGUUGUACUGCUCCUCCAAGAUCAUGGACGUGCUUCGUAACAGGUCAUCUAGGCUAGAAAUGGUCAUGUACCUGUUGUCUGUUGUUGUUGUGAAUGGUGGGUGCGGAUGUUACCGUGUUGGCGGUGCUCGUGGUGCUCAGACUCGUUGAUUGACCAUCCCUCGAUCUGGCCUUCAAUUGGAUUUGAGUUGCUUUCUAUUGGAUUUGGGUAGAAAUGGCCGUGUAGUUUUCUGUCGCAACACAACGGGUUGUAGGCAUGGGGUUCUGUAUCCGUUGCGGUCGAAUCUCUCACCUUCACGAAGUUUGGCACUAUAUAUCUUGGGGGAGGUUUCAAAAUCCUCAUCAGUCUUUGAUGUUGGACUGUUUGGCUCGAAAGAGACGUUAUGCUUGUUUCUAUCGCAAGGAGUUGUUGGUUCUUGGAUCCAUUUCGUGUUCACGGUUGGUCCAUACACCGCACAUUAGACAAUCACCGGUGUUGUUUUUAUUUCUUUGUAUCACCCGAUUGGGUUGGUUUACACUUUGUAUGGAUUGACUAGGUUAGGUAUAUGUCCCCCAAUUCUUUUUUGUAUUUCUUUUUUCCUUUUUUUAAUAAUAUAUAUAUGAGCACCUGACCUAGACUGGAAUCUGCAAGACAUUCCAACUAUGUUGGACUGUCUUCUAUUCCUUUUUUUAUGCCUUUGGACUCUUGCCUUAUAAAAAAAAAACCACUUCUACCUAAACCCUAAAACUAGUCAAAUAAAGAGUAUAUUUUAAAUUUUCAGGACAUUUUCCAAACUAUGAUAUCAAGAUAAGGAUUGUAACUAUUUUAUAUGAAUAAUGUUCCACUUUUUUCAAUGCCUUCUAAAUUUAUUACAUAGGUUGAGUAAGGAUUGACCACAGAUUGCUUGAGUACUUGGAUGGAAGAAGUGAUCAGUUGAAAGUGUUGUCAAUUGCUUGCUCAUUGUUUCAAUUGGCUAUUUCAACUGUGGCAUCAGCUGUUUUGCGGUUAUGCGCGGUUUGGGGUGCUGUUUUUUGGAUGUUCGUGUCAUGGAAAUCGAGGCCUAACUCAUCCCUACAAAACCGGCUUGUACGGUGAGGAGUGUCUCCUCGUUAUAAACUCUUCUCAAGAAUCCUAUCUAUCCGAUGUGGGACUAAAUCCCACCCGAGUGUUGGCUGCUAACAGUUCGGGUGUGAGGCAGGGGUAUGCUUGUAGUCUGUUGCAUGUAUACUCCGGCAUCACUACUUGAUUCCAAGGCUUUUGGUGGGGUUUCAUCGAAUUUUGGUGUUCCGUAUAUAUGCGGCACCUCAUUGUACUUUUAUCCCUUUUUCUGCGAGUUUGCGGUAUUUCUUGCAUUUGCUCGUCAUGAAUAAAUUUGCCAUUUCAAAAAAAAAAAAAAAAUUUACACACCCACAAAAAUUAGUUGACAACAAUAAAUAAAUAAUGAAGUGGUAGAAUGGGGCACAUAAUAUACCUUGGUCUUCCUCUUUACCUUUUGGCGAUGUUUUAUGCAGUGUGUAAUGUUCGAUUAGUUUAGAGUCAUAAAAAAACAGAGUAAGCUGACUGAAUUAAAUUAUAAAAGUAACAGAACGUUGACACAGACACAAACACGACGCUGACACGGUAAUAAUUUGAGAAAAUGACAAAUUGGAUGGAAUCACAUGCGUAUGUAAUCAUAUGUUGCAAUUUGGAGCAGUACAAGAAGAUUCACUAUCUUCUUUAAUUGAAACGAAUCAACCUAUGCGUAAAUCAAUGGAUGAAUUUGGGCUAGUACCCGAUGAUGGUUUCUUGAGUAUGGAUAGUUUGCAAUUUGAGAACCAACAAUUGUCUACUUCUCAAAUGGUAUCAAAAUAAUUGGAAGCAAGUAAGGAUGCUAUUGAAAGAGUGUUCUAAAUUUAGUAGAUAAUAAUGUUAAGCAUGUUGAUUCGGCGUCCCAACAGUGAGAAAAGUAGAGUCCCUAGUAUGGUGGUUGAUGCAAUAUCCCAACAGGAUGAGAAAGAUCAUCCAAGUAACUUAUUAUGAAGGACUGCAGAAUUCUUGCGCUCAAGAUGGCAGCUAAUAGGUUAUUUACAAGAACGGGAUGAUAUCGUUCAAAAGAAAAGUUUAUUUUUGGCCCUCGAAGUUUCAAAAUGUUGCAAUUUUGAUCCCCUUUUAAAAAUGUUAACCCUUGGAGGCAAUUUGCGCAGAGUUACCCUCUUGAGGUGACCCAUCUUGUCACAAUUAAAGCACUUAAACUUUGACUUGUUACCACUUAUUCCCUGGUUACCUCUACCUCCACCAUUCCCUCUUGAAGCACUUAGACCAUCACUUAAUCAACUCUCAAGUCCUUGGACUCGGUCAACUCCUUGGUUCUCAAAGCCGCUUGAACUUCUUCCAAGGUGACGGUGCCUUCUAUGCCAUAGGGCAUGGUAUCAUUGAAAGAUUCAAAUGGUCUAAGUAGAGCACACAACAAGAGUAUAGUCUUGUCUUCAUCCUCAAGAUGCACCUCAAUGUUCUCCAAAUCAUUAAGGAUUUUGUUGAACUUCGUUAGUUGCUCUGUUAAGGUCUUUGACUCCACCAUUUUAAACGAGUAGAGUUGUUGCUUUAGGAAUUACAUAUGAGCUAAAGACUUAGUCAUAUACAAUGCCUCCAACUUAGUCAUAUAUAACCUUGUCCACUAUCUCGGUCUUCUCCGCUUAUGACAUGGUGACCACUAACACAUCUUCAACCUUGAAAGGAAAUAUAUUAACCCAACCGCACAAAUCUAAUGUAAAUCUAAAUCAAAAUCUAAAUAUAUUAACCCACAUUAAAAUAUAUAUCGACUAGCGCUGACAACGAAUCAAUCCAAUUCGAAAAUAGUUCGAAAUUCGAUUCGGUAAUUGUUUCGUUGAACUUGGUUCAUGAUCCAAUUGAGUAGAACUUGAGUUGAAAAUUAAGCUCGUCAAAUAAAUGAGCCGAACUUGAAUUACGUAUAAUUAGACUCGUUUGAUUCAUGAACCAACUAUAUAUAUAUAUAUAUAUAUAUAUAUAUAUAUAUAUAUAUAUAUAUAUAUAUAUAUAUAUAUAUAUCCUAAAUCAAUUACACUAAUUUUUAAAUGAAAUAUUAUUUUUAACAUUUUUCUUUGUCAAAGUUUUUUAUUACCACUUUAUUAACAAUAUAAAAUAAAAAUGUUCAACCGAGUAAAAAUAAUGGUAAUCCUCACCUAAAGUUUUUUAUAUAUCGAUAUAGCAAGUGGAGUAUAUAACAUAAUCCAUACACUUGAAAGUUUUAAGCUUGCUUGUUUAAAAAAAAAAAAUUAAGCUUGCAAUUUUAUGUCCCACAUCGAAAAUUUCGUGAAGAACGGAAAACAACUUAUCUAUAAAAAGAGGCGUGUACGGUAUCACCUACAAUUGGAAUGGAAUGACAAUAAUAUUAAUUAAUUAAUUUAAUUAAUAGUAUUUACCAUUUUACGUUAAUGGUUUUUUGACCAAUUACAAGGUUUGUGAGCUGUUUUUUGUGCCCUCAUAAAAACCAUAACCAUAGUUGUUUUUGUCCCUUGGUUCAUUUAAUUCGAGUCUAGUUAAUUUUUAUUGAGUCGAAUCGACUUAGCUCGAUUAAUUUUCAACUCUAGUUAUGUGAUUUGAGCAAACAUACUGAACUUAACGAGCCGAAGUUGAUGAACCUUAAACGAGUCGAACUCGAGCUGAAAAAAGAGUUCAUGUCGAACUCGAGUCGAGUUUCGAGCCGAGCAAAAUUUUAUCGAGCCGAGCUCAGAUAGGUUCGAUUUGAUUCGACUCAUUUUCAUCCCUAAUAUCGACACAUUAGUUGGGGGUUGUGACAUAUCUCUUCAUUAUUAAAGCAUGUUGCUCAAAGGGUUUCCCACACCUUAACCCACAUUUGAUUGGUUUUAAUUAAUAAGAAAAAUAGAAAUUCAUCUUCUAUUUUAUUUGGUUUUAUUACUGCCUAUUAGCAUUAGGAGAGGUCAUAACAUAUCUCUUCAUUAUUGUUGUGAAUUGGUUGCAAAAUUACACCAAUAAAAUUUGAUGUGUGGAACAAAUAAAUAAAGCAAUCAAAAUAAGUGGGUGACAAUAUAAUUCAAGCAAAAAUAAACAGCAAGAGAGAAGAAGAAAAAUACAAGAAUUUGUUUACCCAAUUCGGUCCAAUAUUGACUUACUCUUGGAGAGAGAGCAGCUCUACGUUCCACUAUAAUGAAGAGUUUCUUUACAAAGAGAUGUCAAAGGGUUACAAGAAUUAGUCUUCAAACCUAAUUCUAUCCCAACAAUGUUUUGUUCAAGGUGAAUCAAAACAAUCUCAGCCCUAGUGUUUGUUUCAAAGAGAAAACUCUAUAAACCCUAGUUUGUUGUUGGCUUCCAAACCUUGUUUUUCUGCUAAUUCUACUCAAUCUGAUAUUGGAUCUGAAUUAAUAGAGAAAUAAAACCCUCAAAAUUAGGAACAAAUCUCACGCUGAAAAUACAUUUUUAUUUUUCUCCUUCAGCGUAAAAUCAUGGCCCGAUUUUCGCAAAUCGUAGUCCGAUUUUUUAUGAAGCAAAACUCCCAAAACUGCACCAAAAAAUGUGGCCCAAUUUAUCCAAAUUGUGGCCUGAUUUUGGCAGAUAUUCUAAAUUUUGAGUCAAUUCUUAACAUUUCUCCACAUUGACUCUAAAUUAGUGAUGAUGUCAAUUUUACCGUCAAUCACUUUGUUGCUCUCUCUAUUUUAUUUUUCCCUUGCUUCCAACUACACCAAGUAGUUCCACAAGCUUCAACCCUUUGCUUCUUCAACCCUCGAAAUGGCUUCCGCCAUCUUAAAGAUCCUUGCAUCCAACUACACUAGGAUUUUAGGUAGUUUCACAAGUCAACAUCAAACCCUCUUCAACCACGGAACGUCUCCCGCUUCCUUGAAUAUCACCUUGCAUCCAAUCACCCUUGGUGUUUUAGGUAAUCACACAAGUCAUGCUAUACAUUCUUCAAACCUCAGAAUGACUUCCGUCCUCUUGAAGAAUUCACUUGCUCGCAACUAGAGCAUAACACCUAAGGUCUUAAUAGUUGUACCAUGCCCGGUGUCAUCAACUCCACAAGAUGAGAUUUCUCUACCUCAACAGGAAAUUGAGUACUUCCUCUAUGUGUUUAACCUUGCAACUCCACCUCAAAGGUUGAUCACGAGUCUUCUUGCAUCCGUCUCCCUAGGCUGAACUUGAGUAUUCUUCCCAUCGCCCCUCCAAGAUGAUGUUGAGUGUUUAAUGUCUCUCUAGACGACUAUCUCUCUACAAGGCAUCACUCCAAAGGUGAGAAAUAUCACCUUCUUCAUCUCCCCAACGAGACACCACCAAAGCACCUGUAACACCCCGUUUUUCCAAUAUACAAAUUUCUUAAAUCAUUUAUCAGAGUAAGCAUCAUAAGCAACGGGAUAUCACAUAUAACAUAAUCCAAAACAGUUAAAUAAUAAUUUAACUUUAACAAAUAUUUCAAACGUUGCAGCGGAAAUUAGUUCGUAAUCCAUAAAUCAUUUUGGCACGUAGGCCCCAUCAAAAUAUCUCAAAUGAGUUAAUUCAAUUUCACAAAACAUCAUAAUUGUUCAACAUCAUAAAACAUAAACAUGAUAGUCACGUAAGAGAAUGAAGCAUGCAAAUGACCCCAUCCCGUUACGUAUCAGAGCGACCUAGACGACACAAUGAAGGCAAGGCCACUCACGACGGCAACUGCACACUAAGCACGAUCACCUGCAAGUUACCCAUACGAAGGGUAACAUUUUCAAGCAGAAGAGGUGAGAUUUCAUAACAAAAUAAUGUUAAUCAAAGUAAUUCGAAUCAUAAUUAACAUUAACAUCAUAAUCAUUCUUAAAUAACUUUGCAUAUUCAAAUGACAAGUAUCACGUAUUCACAUAUUCAAUCGUCAUCAACAACAUAGCAUCAUGGACAUGACAAUGUGACAAUGCUCUUAGACUCCUUAUAUGCAUGUGGUACCAAUCGUCAUCAUAAGUAUUAAUAUACUUUAAUCAUGUGGAGGACAAAGCUCCUAUAAAUCGUGCGGAGGACAAAGCUCCUAAUAAUCGUGGUGAGGACUAAGCUCAAUGAAAUGCUAUGCAUGGACUCUUAUGAACAAAUCACCGUAAUCAACAUAUCAACAUGCAUCCAAUAAUUUGGAGCUAAACGUCAUCAUUUCAUCAUAUAAAUACACUAUGCACUUAGUUAAAUAACAGCAGCAGCAUAAACAAGUCACAUAACAGGAUGAUAUCAUUAUAUCAAUAGCACAUCAAUUAUAUCAUAGUUAAACCUUCAUAUCUUACUUAAUUGCACAAUACAUUAACCAUACUCAAUUAAAUUUCAACAUAUCUUAAACAGCCUUACAGACUGCAUUAAACGUCAUCAUUAGGUCUCAUUAUCAUAAGGGGGUUCACUCUUGAUCCAAACGUGCGACACAGAUCGCACAAACACUCAAGACACUCAAAACUGGAAGUGCUCGCGAGGCGAGAGUUCUUACUCGCCAUGGCGAGUACCAAACAAUUCCCAAACUAAAGUUGUUCUGGGUCCAAUCUUGUCCUACAUUCAUCCCUAAUCAUUACUAGGUAUGUUCAGACACUCAAAGGCACUCAAGGUCUAACUAAAAAGGUCGAAACACAAAAUCUAGCAUGCUCUCUACCUUAGCUCGCUAUGGCGAGUAAGGUUGCUCGCUAUUGCGAGCGAUACCAAAAGAACUCGCGAGGCGAAGGAAAAAGCUCACGUGGCGAGCGAUCACUACUACAAAAAUGGGCUUAUAUAGCGCUUUGUAAGCGCUACUGUAAAUGGCGCUAGUAAAGGUAAUAUAGCGCUUUUUUCUUGUAUAAAGCGCUAUCUAAAGCAUGGUUUAUAUAGCGCUUUUUAUCAAAAAACGCUAGCAAAGAUUCUCCUUAGAUAGCGCUUUCAAUAAUAAGCGCCAUGUAAAAGGGGUUUAAAAUAACGCAUACACUUGUAGAAAACAGCGUUUUUGUUUAAAAACGCUAUGUAACACUAGGUUUAGAUAGCACUUUAUACUGAAAAAAAAACGCUAGGAAAAGCAUUAAUUUUUUUUUGACAGAUUUUUUCUUAAUUUUUAAUUUUUUUUUUGUCAAAUUUUUUAAAAUUUUUACGGAUAGCAUUUUUUUAUUAAUUUAAAGUAAUAUAUAUAUAUAUAUAUAUAUAUAUAUAUAUAUAUAUAUAUAUAUAUAUACAUUUAUAUAUAUAACUUUUCUAAGGGGAAAUAUAUAUAUUUUUGGCAUAUUAAAAUUGAGACUAUUAUUUAUCAAAUAAAACUUAAACACAUCACAAAAAAAUUAUGUAUAUAUAGCAUAAAAGUCAGAAAUGUAUAGCCACUAAUAUGGUAACAUAGAUAUCUCUAAGUUACAACUAAUUAGUUAACAUAAAGAUCAAAAAUCUUCUAUGGUAGCAUGCAGACUUGAUAAAUCUUCUUGAUCGUCUCAACAUUGUUAUCCAAAAUAAGCAGGCGAAUCAUUAUUCAUUUCCAAAUACAGUUAACUUUCUCCACCUGAAUAUAUAGCAAAAAACACCAUUAAACAAUAAACAAUAACACUAUAUUAUAUUAGAGGGAAAUUCAAAAUACUACUCAUCGUUUCUCUAUUUUCAUUCAUCUAUAUCUUUCUCUCUAUGCAAUUAGAAAUAUAUAUACAAUACACAAAGCAUAGUUAAUUCUAGCUUAGAUUUUUUUUUUAACAAGCAAAAAUGAGAUAUAUUAACACGGACACCGUAAUUGUUACCGCACAAGGUGUGCCAAAACAAUCACGGAAAAUGUCAAGGUCCAAACAAAAUUACAACCAAAUCAGUCAAUACCCAGACAUGAAAGCGGGUUCGAUCAUCAAUGAUGAGUACCAAAACUAAAUACAGCAUUGCAAGCUUUUAACCACCACAAAGAAGUUGAUUAAAGAUAAUGGCUAUUUAGUCAUAUUAAAGAUAUGAUAUACAUACUGUGUGCUCAUAAUUCAAUGAUGUGUGAAGCUGACACAUAUUAAGAUAUGAUAACUAUACUUUUCCCUACCUUAAAAAAAAACUAUACCUUUUGCUUAGUUGGAGGGUUAUUUCAUUAAUAAUCACAUAAUUAAUUUGUUUCUUUCCUGUGCAGAUGUUUCUCUUCCCACUAAAUUUGGAUAGUAACAAAUAUAGCUAGUUCCCUAGUUGUAGAACACAAUUUAUAAUUGACGUGUUAGGUGUGGCCAAUAAGUGAAAACUAAUGAAGAUAUAGUACCAAGUUACUAACCAUCUUUUGGUUUUGUGGCACGUGUGCUAACAGUACUGUAACUGAUAUGUGCAUACAACAAAAAAAAGGGGUGAAAAGGGGACUGAAUUGUCAUACAUAAACGAAUGAAGAAACCUAACAAUGAGAAGAGAAAAACCUCUAUUGUGGCAGCAAGGACAAAUACUACGUACUAGAGUUAAAUUGAAAUGGUUCCAACGACCUGUUCAAAUUUCAAUCUAAUAUCUACUUGACAAUUCAGGUUAACUCAUGAUCACAAGAGAAAAAUCUGCAUGCUAAUAAAGAAGCUACUAAUAUAAAUACUUUGCUUUGGCAUCAAGAAGUCAAGAGAGAUACAACAACAUAUUAUAUAAUAGCUAUAAUUUAAAACCUUUUUAUUUUUAUUUUUAUAAUAAGCUAUAAUAUAAAACCUAUUACUUAUCAAGCUAUAAUAUAAUAAACUGCAACUUAAAACAACUUAAAACAUGUAUUCUAAAUUCAAAUCAUUUAGUCCUAAUUUGAAAUCACUAAAAACAGAGACCCCAAGACAUGUUUGAUUUCAAUGUCAUUAAUAAAUAGUUAAUUGCAGUAAGAAUUGAUAGAGAACAUGCUUUCAAUUUUACCACAAUAUAAGAGUUUGCAGAGUAACGACAAAGACAAAUUAAAACCAAUUAAAGGACUGAAUACAUUGAAUUGAAGAUUACAAUAGAAGACUAAUCACAGUGCAUGAUCAAGACAUUUACCUAAGAAUAAGAUACGACUUUGUCCUCUUCAACAAAAGGACAGGAGAUUGCGGUUUGUGAUUUCCAACUGCAAAUACAAUUGCAUUAGUCACACUUAUUUGUAAUUUUCUACAAUAUAUCAAUAAUCACAACACCAACUAAAUUGAAGAAAAAUACCAAAUGGGUUAGUUUUAUUCCAUCUACGCAAACGUCAGACUAACCUGAUAAGAGGAGGCUUCGACGAGGGAAUGAAACCAAUAACAACGACGAUGGCUUGACGGCGGUGGCCAGAGACAUUGAGAUUAGCGUGAGAAGUGAUGAGCAUAGGGAAUCAAUCAGAGAAGAUGGGUUUGAGGGGUUUGACGGUUGAAUCGAUGGGUUUGGGGGAAACCAGUCAUGAACCAACCAACCAUAAAAGCAAUCGAUGAGAAAGAUUCAAAGAGGUAAUCAAUGGGCUUUUAGGGAGGAAUCAAUGGUCGGCGAUUGAUGGUUUGCACAAAUGGGUAGGCGAUCAGAUUCAAAGAGGAGAUGGGUUAAUUUGUUUGAUUUCACAAGAGAAUUUGGAAUUAAUAUUGGGGAACGUGAAGAAAGGAGUAGUUUAAUUUAAAUUAAAAAAAGUUUAUAAUUCAUUUAGGGAAGAAAAAAACGAAAAAUAUUAGAGAGGGGAUCGAACAAGGGACCAAGAGCUUGUUGGUGGUUGUUGUAUGCCACUUUGAAAAUCAAUUUAUUUCAUAAGUAGCGCUUUUUUUAAAUCAAUAAACGCUAUGUUUGUAGUAUCAACUAUAGCGCUUUAAAAGCGCUGUUUAAAAGUGAAUCAUAAAUAGCGCUUUCUAUAUUAAGCGCUAUCUAAGGUUAAUUGUUCAAUUAUUUUAUAUUUAAUAUUUUUUUAAGAAUUCUACGUUAGCGCUUUUGACACAAAACGCUAUAAUCAGUUUGCCUCAUAAAUAGCGUUUUUUUAUAAAAGCGCUAUCUAAGCCCUCCGUGUUUCCUUAUAUAGCGCUUUAGUGUUAUAAGCGCUGCUAAAUGAGCGCUAUUUUUUCCCCAUUUUGUAGUAGUGGAUGAAGAUCAUCACUCGCGAGGCGAGGUUCAUAGCUCGCCGUGGCGAGCGAUGAAUGUCGCUAUGAUCAGGCUUCCUAUUUUCACAAAAAUCCGACGAUUCUCAGGGUUCUAAGCUUAGUAUUGAUUCCAAAGUUUGUCCUAAACAUUAUCUAAGGUCCAAGAACACUUUCUACACCAAUUUAAUCAAUUCCUACCGUUUAAUCAUCAACUUUAGGGAUUUGACCUAGUUUUCGUUUUCUCCAAUUCAAUCCUAAUUCUUGCUAACUAAUCAUCAGAAUUACAUUCAAUUAACAAUACAGAGUUAUUAGUCUCACCCUUACCUUUAAUUGCAGAAAAUCGCAGCUCUCCCUCUUGGUUUCUCUUCUCUUGGCUUUUCUCCCUUUUUCUCCAACAACGUACGUACAACAAUGUUUUUCUAAAACUAGGUCUAACUCUUUUAUAUCUCCUCUUAAUUACUUAUCUUAUCUCACUUUCUCCCCCAAAACUAUCUAAAAUAUCAAAACAACCCUCAACUAAAUAUUUUAUAUUAUUCUCAAAUCUUUAUUUUAUUUCAUAAUAAAAUAAAUCCCUUAAUCUUAUCAAAUCUUCAAAAACUCAUAACUUAUCACAAUAUCAACCAAACCAUCAAUAUAGUUGUAAAUCAUUCAAAUCAUAUCAAAAUCAUGCAUAUAUUAUAUAAAUAUAAUAUAAUCGCCUAAACUCGAUUAAAUAAGCAAUUAACAAAAGUGGGCGUUACAGCACCCGUAUCCUCAUAAUAACCCUCGGAGACAAUUUGCGCAGAGUUACCAUUAUUCUCCGGGUAAUCCUUCUUGAAGUGACCCAUCUUGGGACAACUAAAGCACUUAAACUUUGACUUGUUACCACUCUUUCUCCGGUUACCUCUACCUCCACCAUUCCCUCUUGAAGCACUUAGACCUUCACCGUUUUCAUCAGCUCUCAAGUCCUUGGACUGUGUUAACUCCUUGGUUCUCAAAGCCGCUUGAACUUUUUCCAAGGUGGCAGUUCCUUCUUUGCCAUAGACCAUGGUAUCUUUGAAGGAUUCAAAUGAUCGUGGUAUAGCACACAACAAAAGUAUAGCCAUGUCUUUAUCCUCAAGAUGCGCCUCAAUGUUCUCUAAAUCAUCAAGGAUUUUGUUGAACUCUGUUGGUUGCUCUGCUACGGUCUUUGACUCCACCAUCUUAAAUGAGUAAAGUUCUUGCUUUAGGAAUUGCCUAUGAACCAUAGACUUAGUCAUAUACAAUAACUCCAACUUUGACCACCUCGAUGUCGUGGUAGGUUCCUUCGCGACAUCCUGAAAACUUUAUCCUUGAGGCACAAGACAAUGACACUUCUAGCUUUGUCCACCAUCUUGGUCUUCUCCGUUUGUGACAUGGUGUCCGAUAACACACCAUCACCCUUUAAAGAAAAUAUAUGACCUGACAAUGUCCUUUUAAUAAAAAAUUAUAUAUUUAGUUAAAAGAAAUAAGAAAUAAUGUAUUAACCCAACCCAGAAAUCGAAAUAUAUUAAAGAAAAUAUAUUAAUUCACAUUAAAGGCAAAUAUAAUAAAGGAAAUAUAUUAACCCACAUUAAAAUAUAUAUCAACACAUUAGUUGGGUUAUAACAUAUCUCUUCAUUCCUUAAAAAAAAUAAACAUAUAUCUUCAUUAUUAAAGCAUGUUUAUCAGAGGGUUUCCCACAUGUUAACCCACAUUUGAUUGGUUUUAAUUAAUAAGGAAAAAAAUAGAAUUCUUCUUCUCUUUUAUAAUUGGUUUCAUUGCUGCUUAUUAGUAUUAGGAGAGGUCAUGAAUUUUUGGGAAUUCUGAUUAUUUCCUUUCCCUGUUAGCUCAAUUUUACUGACUUAGAACGUAGAACAGGAAUGGAUAAUUCAAAUACAAAAUCUAGGCAAUGGCUAAACAGCAUUUUUAUUUUUCAUUUUGAAAUGACAUAUUUAUGUCAGCAUUGUAUAUGUAUCAUAUGAGUAUAGGGUGAUAUUUAUUUAUUUAUGUUAAUAUUAUCAUAGAAAGUGAUUCAGACCAAUCAU